This 1117-nucleotide long non-coding RNA is filed under the name Brassica napus (rape). Its description in RNAcentral is "long non-coding RNA (BNAP_LNC013425)". The record is from RNAcentral. Lineage: Eukaryota; Viridiplantae; Streptophyta; Magnoliopsida; Brassicales; Brassicaceae.
AAAGUGGGAUAACUUCUUCUUCCCAACUCCUAUGAGAUUUAUUCAACUUCCGGGUGAUUCUCCACCAUUUUAUGUAUCCAAAUCAAGCUUCUUACAAAGAGAUUCAUCCUGGUUUGAUUGGAACGACGAAGAAGCUGUGGUAUUCCCAAACUGGGAAGCUGGAAUCACGUGAUUUAAAAGUGGGAUAACUUCUUCUUCCCAACUCCUAUGAGAUUAAUUCAACUUCCUGGUGAUUCUCCACCAUUUUAUGUAUCCAAAUCAAGCUUCUUACAAAGAGAUUCAUCCUGGUAUGAUUGAAACGACGAAGAAGCUGUGCUAUUCCCAAACUGGGAAACUGGAAUCACCUGAUUUGAAAGUGGGAUAACUUCAUCAUCCCAACCCCUAUGAGAUUUAUUCAACUUCCUGGUGAUUCUCCACCACUUUAUGUAUCCAAAUCAAGCUUCUCACAAAGUGAUUCAUCCUGGUUUGAUUGGAACGACGAAGAAGCUGUGCUAUUCUCAACCUGGGAAACUGGAAUCACAUGAUUUGAAAGUGGGAUAACUUCUUCUUGCCAACUCCUAUGUGAUUUAUUCAACUACCUGGUGAUUCUCCACCACUUAAUGUAUCAAAAUCAAGCUUCUCACAAAGUGAUUCAUCCUGGUUUGAUUGGAACGACAACGAAGCUGUGCUAUUCCCAAACUGGGAAACUGGAAUCACAUGAUUUGAAAAUGGGAUAACUUCUUCUUCCCAACUCCUAUGAGAUUUAUUCAACUUCCUGGUGAUUCUACACCACUUUAUAUAUUCAAAUCAAGCUUCUUACAAAGAGAUUCAUCUUGGUUUGAUUGGAACGACGAAGAAGAUGUGGUAUUCCCAAACUGGGAAACUGGAAUCACCUGAUUUGAAAGUUGGAUAACUUUUUCUUCCCAACUCCUAUGAGAUUUAUUCAACUUCCUGGUGAUUCUCCACCACUUUAUGUAUCCAAAUCAAGCUUCUCACAAAGAGAUUCAUCCUGGUUUGAUUGGAACGACGAAGAAGCUGUGCUAUUCCCAAACUGAGAAACUGGAAUCACAUGAUUUGAAAGUGGGAUAACUUCUUCUUCCCAACUCCUAUGAGAUUUAUUCAACUUCCUGGUGAUUCU